RNAcentral lists this long non-coding RNA (1041 nucleotides) under Equus asinus (donkey). RNAcentral's name for it is "lncRNA (ENSEASG00005026751.1, ENSEASG00020014810.1)". The record is from RNAcentral. Lineage: Eukaryota; Metazoa; Chordata; Mammalia; Perissodactyla; Equidae.
CUCAUCUCUGAACUCUCUAUUCAUAUAUUUUGCCUAUUUUCAAUUGCAUUUUAUCAGUUUGCAAAAACACUUUGUAUAUUAUGACUUUUUAUCUGUCACAGGUGUGGAAAUAUUUUCCUCAAUGUUUUGUCUGUAUGACUUUCAUCAAACUAAUUUUAAAGUAUUUAUGUAGUCAAAUAUGUCUAUUACUUCUUUUAUAGUUUCUGAGUUUCCACUUUUUUUUUUUUUAAGAUUUUAUUUUUUCCUUUUUCUCCCCAAAGCCCCCCGGUACAUAGUUGUGUAUUCUUCGUUGUGGGUUCUUCUAGUUGUGGCAUGUGGGACGCUGCCUCAGCGUGGUCUGAUGAGCAGUGCCAUGUCCGCGCCCAGGAUUCGAACUAACGAAACACUGGGCUGCCUGCUGUGGAGUGCGCGAACUUAACCACUCGGCCACGGGGCCAGCCCCUCUGAGUUUCCACUUUUGGUUAGAAAAAUCUGCCCUACACCACAGGCGGUAUACGUUGGCUCCUAAAUUUUCUUCCAAGAUUUUUAACGUUUUAAUUUUUACAUUCAGUUUUUUAAAUCCAUCUGACAUUUAUUUUUGUACAUAGAGCUAUUUUAUUUUCUUCUGGUAGAUUGCCACUUAUGUUAGUAACACUUACAAAAUAAUGCAUCCUUUUCCCACUGAACUAAAAUUCCUCUUCUGUCAUAUAUUAAAAUUUUCUGUGGAUUCUUUGCUCUAUUUCUGGGCUUAAAUUUUUUUUUUACCUCUUUUAUUGUGAAAUACUACAUAAAUAUGGAAAACAUAUUUACAGUUUAAUAAUUUAUAGCAAAUAUCCACGUAACUACCUCCAGAUCAAGAAAUAGAACAUUGCCAGCACCUCAGAAGGUCCCCAUGUUCUCUUCCCUGAUUAUCUCCUUUCUCUCAGAGUUGAGGAAAGCAAUGCUCAAAAAGGAAAUUGACUUGCUUAAGAUGGCUCAGCUAGUAAGAUGGUGAGAUUUGGAUUCAAAACCAGUCUACGUGAUUACAAAUCUAAUGCCCUCUCUACACUUCAAGGAAUAUCC